RNAcentral lists this ribosomal RNA (444 nucleotides) under Triticum aestivum (bread wheat). RNAcentral's name for it is "partial small subunit ribosomal RNA". The record is from RNAcentral. Lineage: Eukaryota; Viridiplantae; Streptophyta; Magnoliopsida; Poales; Poaceae.
AUGGUGCAAUACCCUAUCUUGUACAUAAUUGUCAUACAUAAAUUCAUCACGAUCAAACAACUUCCAAGACAAGGAAGCCCUGAUAUUUCUUUCCAAAGGGGCCUUUUUGGGCCUCGUCUGAUAGCAUGGAAUGAAUUACUCAUUCGUUUGGAGGCCAUUCAGCUGUCAGGUGAACCAGACAAGUUUCGAUGGAAUUUGCAUCAGAACUGUAGCUUUUCUGUCAAAUCUUUGUAUGAUGCAUUAGUUCAUAGUGAUGUUUCAGAUGAUAACAAGAAAUUGUGAAAGCUCAAAACUCCUCUAAGAGUAAAGAUAUUCCUCUGAUUUCUAAAUAGAGGGGUGAUCUUAACUAGAGAUAAUCUGGCACGACGUAACUGGGAAGGUAGCAAAACAUGUGUCUUUUGCCAACAUGACGAGUCAAUUAAACACUUAUUUUUUUACAUGUAA